This 135-nucleotide ribosomal RNA is filed under the name uncultured bacterium. RNAcentral describes it as "partial 16S ribosomal RNA". It matches the Rfam family "Bacterial small subunit ribosomal RNA", at positions 371 to 526 of the family's 1533-position model. The record is from RNAcentral.
AUGGGCGAGCCUGAUGCAGCACGCCGCGUGGAGGAUGAAGGCCUUCGGGUUGUAAACUCUUGUCUUCUGGGACGAUAAUGACGGUACCAGAGGAGGAAGCCACGGCUAACUACGUGCCAGCAGCCGCGGUAAUAA